AGGAGCGGCGAUGGUGCAGCCGGUCCAGGCGCGGCCAUCGCGGUGAGGUCGUGGUUAGGGAGAUCGUGCGCGAGACCGCAAUCAGCGGUAGCGUGCCCAUCACCUUCCCGAUGCUCACGCGCUCAAACUACAGUGAGUGGUGGGCGUUGAUCAUGGAGUGCAACCUUCAUGCGGCGAGCCUCUGGGCUCCCAUGGAGGACGAUCUGGUCGAGAGAAAGGAGGACAGGAAAGCCGUGGCGGCCCUCAUGUGCGCCACGCCGCCGGAGAUGCACGGCAUGCUCGCGGUGAAGGCAAGCGCCAAGGAGGCGUGGGAAGCCAUCCGUACCCUGCGCCUCGGCAGCAACCGCAUGCGCGAGGCGAACGCGCAAAAGCUGCGGGCGGACUUCGAGAACAUCGCCUUCAAGGAGGGCGAGCUCGUCGACAACUUCGCCAUGUGGAUCUCCAGCGUUGGGUCACAACUCUGAGCGCUCGGUGAUACCAUGGACGAUGCGAGAGUCGUGCAGAGAUUUCUCUGCGUCGUGCCACCUCGCUUCGCUCAGGUCGCGGUCUCCAUCGAGACCUUGCUUGACCUGAGUGAGCUCUCCAUCGAGGAGCUCACGGGCCGGUUGCGGGUGAUCGAGGACCGCUUUGACGACGGCCGCGAGAGCUUUGGCGGCGGACAACUCCUAUUCUCAAAGAAGUGGGAGGCGAGGAAGCGUUAAGGACGUGGUGGCGGUGCCCAGAGCAGUGGAGGCGGCACCGACAGAGGCGGCGGUCGCACCCAGGGCGGAGACGGACAAGGUGCCGGCAACGACGACCGGGACAAGUGCCGAUAUUGCAGCAUCAAGGGCCACUGGGCCCGUGAGUGCCGCAAGAGGAUGGCUAAGGAGGAUGCCGCGGCUGCGGUGAACCUCAUCGAGGCUGAAGAGGACGGUGGGCCAGCAAUGAUGAUGGCUUGCGUCGAGACCAUGCAGGAGGGCGCAGUGCCUCCGGUGACCAUGGUCCCGACAAGCAUCGAAGCUGUGCAGGAGGGUGUAGCACCUCCGGCGACCACAGUGCCGACAACCGUUAAGUCCGUGCGGGAGGCAUGGAGCUCUUCAAGUAAUCCCCUCCCGACAUCGGGAGCGCUCUCCUCGACAACAAUGUUCUCGGGAGACUACGAUUGGGAGGAGAUGAAGACCCGGGUGUGGGGGAGCCACGCCCCGGCAACCACGUCCCCUGCGACGCUGGUCAAGCACGUGCAAGUUGGCACGACAAAGGCGUACCCGACAUCCUUGGGACCAGACAAGCCCGUGUCAGGAGGCACGGCAACGACGCAUCUAGUGGGCCACGUCCCAACCAUGAUGCUGGCAACCAGUGAGCCCAUGCAAGAGGCACGACACUCUCAGGUCGACCACACCCCGACAACCAGGUUCUCGUGGUUCUGCAAGCCCGUGUGGGUGACAUGGCACUCUUCGACAAGCCUCAACUGGGAGGCAAUGAGAGACAUGUUGGGUUUCGUAGUAAUUUCAAAAAUUUUCCUACGCACACGCAAGAUCAUGGUGAUGCAUAGCAACAAGAGGGGAGAGUGCUGUCUACGUACCCACGCAGACCGACUGCGGAAGCGUUGACACAACGUAGAGGAAGUAGUCGUACGUCUUCGCGAUCCAACCGAUCAAGCACCGAAACUACGGCACCUCCGAGUUCGAGCACACGUUCAGCUCGAUGACGAUCCCCGGACUCCGAUCCAGCAAAGUGUCGGGGAAGAAUUCCGUCAGCACGACGGCAUGGUGACGAUCUUGAUGCACUACAGCAGCAGGGCUUCGCCUAAACUCCGCUACAGCAUAAUCGAGGAAUAUGAUGGUUGGGGGCGCCGCACACGGCUAAGGAAUAGAUCACGUGGAUCAACUUGUGUGUUUCUGGGGUGCCUCUGCCUCAGUAUAUAAAGGAGCCAAGGGGGAGGGGGGCCGGCUAGGAGGAGGGCGCAGGAGGAGUCCUUCUCCUUCCAGGAGUAGGACUCCCCCCCCCAAUCCUAGUUGGACUCGGAUUCCCCGAGGGGGAAAGAGAGAGAAGGGGGGCCGGCCACCUCUCCUAGUCCUAAUAGGACUAGGGGGAGGGGGGAGGCGCGCGGCCACCUUGGGCUGCCCCUUUCUCCUUUCCACUAAAGCCCAUCUAGGCCCAUAUGGUUCCCGGGGAUUCCGGUAACCUCCCGGUACUCCGGUAAAAUCCCGAUUUCACCCGGAACACUUCCGAUAUCCAAACAUAGGCUUCCAAUAUAUCAAUCUUUACGUCUCGACCAUUUUGAGACUCCUCGUCAUGUCCGUGAUCAAAUCUGGGACUCCGAACAACCUUCGGUACAUCAAAAUGCAUAAACUCAUAAUAUAACUGUCAUCGUAACCUUAAGCGUGCGGACCCUACGGGUUCGAGAACAAUGUAGACAUGACCGAGACACGUCUCCGGUCAAUAACCAAUAGCGGGACCUGGAGGCCCAUAUUGGCUCCUACAUAUUCUAGGAAGAUCUUUAUCGGUCAGACCGCAUAACAACGUACGUUGUUCCCUUUGUCAUCGGUAUGUUACUUGCCCGAGAUUCGAUCGUCGGUAUCCAAUACCUAGUUCAAUCUCGUUACAGGCAAGUCUCUUUACUCGUUCUGUAAUACAUCAUCUCGCAACUAACUCAUUAGUUGCAAUGCUUGCAAGGCUUAUGUGAUGUGCAUUACCGAGAGGGCCCAGAGAUACCUCUCCGACAAUAGGAGUGACAAAUCCUAAUCUCGAAAUACGCCAACCCAACAUCUACCUUUGGAGACACCUGUAAUGCUCCUUUAUAAUCACCCAGUUACGUUGUGACGUUUGGUAGCACCCAAAGUGUUCCUCCGGCAAACGGGAGUUGCAUAAUCUCAUAGUUAUAGGAACAUGUAUAAGUCAUGAAGAAAGCAAUAUCAACAUACUAAACGAUCGGGUGCUAAUCUAAUGGAAUGGGUCAUGUCAAUCAGAUCACUCAACUAAUGAUGUGACCUCGUUAAUCAAAUAACAACUCAUUGUUCAUGGUUAGGAAACAUAACCAUCUUUGAUUAACGAGCUAGUCAAGUAGAGGCAUACUAGUGACACUUUGUUUGUCUAUGUAUUCACACAUGUAUUAUGUUUCCGGUUAAUACAAUUCUAGCAUGAAUAAUAAACAUUUAUCAUGAUUAUAAGGAAAUAAAUAAUAACUUUAUUAUUGCCUCUAGGGCAUAUUUCCUUUAGUCUCCCACUUGCACUAGAGUCAAUAAUCUAGAUUACACUGUAAUGAUUCUAACACCCAUGGAGCCUUGGUGCUGAUCAUGUUUUGCUCGUGGAAGAGGCUUAGUCAACGGGUCUGCAACAUUCAGAUCCGUAUGUAUCUUGCAAAUCUCUAUGUCUCCCACCUGGACUAGAUCCCGGAUGGAAUUGAAGCAUUUCUUGAUGUGCUUGGUUCUCUUGUGAAAUCUGGAUUCCUUUGCCAAGGCCAUUGCACCAGUAUUAUCACAAAAGAUUUUCAUUGGACCCGAUGCACUAGGUAUGACACCUAGAUCGGAUAUGAACUCCUUCAUCCAGACUCCUUCGUUCGCUGCUUCCGAAGCAGCUAUGUACUCCGCUUCACAUGUAGAUCCCGCUACGACGCUUUGUUUAGAACUGCACCAACUGACAGCUCCACCGUUUAAUGUAAACACGUAUCCGGUUUGCGAUUUAGAAUCGUCCGGAUCAGUGUCAAAGCUUGCAUCAACGUAACCAUUUACGACGAGCUCUUUGUCACCUCCAUAUACGAGAAACAUAUCCUUAGUCGCUUUCAGGUAUUUCAGGAUGUUCUUGACCGCUGUCCAGUGAUCCACUCCUGGAUUACUUUGGUACCUCCCUGCUAGAGUUAUAGCAAGGCACACAUCAGGUCUGGUACACAACAUUGCAUACAUGAUACAUCCUAUCGCUGAUGCAUAGGGAACAUCUUUCAUAUUCUCUCUAUCUUCUGCAGUGGUCGGGCAUUGAGUCUUACUCAAUUUCACACCUUGUAACACAGGCAAGAAUCCUUUCUUUGCUUGAUCCAUUUUGAACUUCUUCAAAAUUUUGUCAAGGUAUGUUGUUUGUGAAAGUCCAAUUAAGCGUCUUGAUCUAUCUCUAUAGAUCUUUAUGCCUAAUAUGUAAGCAGCUUCACCGAGGUCUUUCAUUGAAAAACUCUUAUUCAAGUAUCCCUUUAUGCUAUCCAGAAAUUCUAUAUUAUUUCCAAUCAGUAAUAUGUCAUCCACAUAUAAUAUCAAAAAUGCUACAGAGCUCCCACUCACUUUCUUGUAAAUACAGGCUUCUCCGAAAGUCUGCAUAAAACCAAAUGCUUUGAUCACACUAUCAAAGCGUUUAUUCCAACUCCGAGAGGCUUGCACCAGUCCAUAAAUGGAUCGCUGGAGCUUGCACACUUUGUUAGCUCCUUUUGGAUCGACAAAACCUUCUGGUUGCAUCAUAUACAACUCUUCUUCCAGAAAUCCAUUCAGGAAUGCAGUUUUGACAUCCAUUUGCCCAAUUUCAUAAUCAUAAAAUGCGGCAAUUGCUAACAUGAUUCGGACAGACUUAAGCAUCGCUACGGGUGAGAAGGUCUCAUCGUAGUCAACCCCUUGAACUUGUCGAAAACCUUUUGCGACAAGUCGAGCUUUGUAGACAGUAACAUUACCGUCAGCGUCAGUCUUCUUCUUGAAGAUCCAUUUAUUCUCAAUUGCUUGCCGAUCCUUGGGCAAGUCAACCAAAGUCCAUACUUUGUUCUCAUACAUGGAUCCCAUCUCAGAUUUCAUGGCUUCAAGCCAUUUUGCGGAAUCUGGGCUCACCAUCGCUUCUUCAUAGUUCGCAGGUUCAUCAUGAUCUAGUAGCAUGACUUCCAGAACAGGAUUACCAUACCACUAUGGUGCGGAUCUUACUCUGGUUGAUCUACGAGGUUCAGUAGUAUCUUGAUCUGAAGUUUCAUGAACAUUAUCAUUAGCUUCCUCACUAACUGGUGUAGGUGUCACUGAAACAAUUUUCUGUGAUGUACUACUUUCCAAUAAGGGAGCAGGUAUAGUUACCUCGUCAAGUUCUACUUUCCUCGCACUCACUUCUUUCGAGAGAAACUCCUUCUCUAGAAAGUUUCCGAAUUUAGCAACAAAAGUCUUGCCUUCGGAUCUGUGAUAGAAGGUGUAUCCAAUAGUUUCCUUUGGAUAUCCUAUGAAGACACAUUUCUCCGAUUUGGGUUCGAGCUUAUCAGGUUGAAGCUUUUUCACAUAAGCAUCGCAGCCCCAAACUUUCAGAAACGACAACUUUGGCUUCUUGCCAAACCACAGUUCAUAAGGCGUCGUCUCAACGGAUUUUGAUGGUGCCCUAUUUAACGUGAAUGCGGCCGUCUCUAGAGCGUAUCCCCAAAACGAUAGCGGUAAAUCAGUAAGAGACAUCAUAGAUCGCACCAUAUCUAGUAAAGUACGAUUACGACGUUCGGACACACCAUUACGCUGUGGUGUUCCGGGUGGCGUGAGUUGUGAAACUAUUCCACAAUUUUUCAAAAGUACACCAAACUCGUAACUCAAAUAUUCUCCUCCACGAUCAGAUCGUAGAAACUUUAUUUUCUUGUUACGAUGAUUUUCAACUUCACUCUGAAAUUCCUUGAACUUUUCAUAUGUUUCAGACUUAUGUUUCAUUAAGUAGACAUACCCAUAUCUGCUUAAAUCAUCUGUGAAGGUGAGAAAAUAACGAUAUCCGCCACGAGCCUCAAUAUUCAUCGGACCACAUACAUCUGUAUGUAUGAUUUCCAACAAAUCUGUUUCUCUCUCCAUAGUACCGGAGAACGGUGUUUUGGUCAUCUUGCCCAUAAGGCACGGUUCGCAAGUACCAAGUGAUUCAUAAUCAAGUGGUUCCAAAAGUCCAUCAGAAUGGAGUUUCUUCAUGCGCUUUACACCGAUAUGACCUAACCGACAGUGCCACAAAUAAGUUGCACUCUCAUUAUCAACUCUGCAUCUUUUGGCUUCAACAUUAUGAAUAUGUGUGUUACUACUAUCGAGAUUCAACAAGAAUAGACCACUCUUCAAGGGUGCAUGACCAUAAAAGAUAUUACUCAUAUAAAUAGAACAACCAUUAUUCUCUGAUUUAAAUGAAUAACCGUCUCGCAUCAAACAAGAUCCAGAUAUAAUGUUCAUGCUUAACGCUGGCACCAAAUAAUAAUUAUUUAGGUCUAAUACUAAUCCCGAAGGUAGAUGUAGAGGUAGUGUGCCGACUGCGAUCACAUUGACUUUGGAACCGUUUCCCACGCGCAUCGUCACCUCAUCCUUAACCAAUCUUCGCUUGAUCCGUAGUCCCUGUUUCGAGUUGCAAAUAUUAGCAACAGAACCAGUAUCAAAUACCCAGGUGCUACUGCAAGCAUUAGUAAGGUACACAUCAAUAACAUGUAUAUCACAUAUACCUUUGUUCACCUUGCCAUCCUUCUUAUCCACCAAAUACUUGGGGCAGUUCCGCUUCCAGUGACCAGUCUGCUUGCAAUAGAAACACUCAGUUUCAGGCUUAGGUCCAGGUUUGGGUUUCUUCUCUUGAGUAGCAACUUGCUUGCCGUUCUUUUUGAAGUUCCCCUUCUUCUUCCCUUUGCCCUUUUUCUUGAAACUAGUGGUCUUGUUGACCAUCAACACUUGAUGCUCUUUCUUGAUUUCUACCUCCGCAGCUUUCAGCAUUGCGAAGAGCUCGGGAAUAGUCUUGUUCAUCCCUUGCAUAUUAUAGUUCAUCACGAAGCUCUUGUAGCUUGGUGGCAGUGAUUGAACAAUUCUGUCAAUGACGCAAUCAUCUGGAAGAUUAACUCCCAAUUGAAUCAAGUGAUUAUUAUACCCAGACAUUUUGAGUAUAUGCUCACUGACAGAACUGUUCUCCUCCAUCUUGCAGCUAUAGAACUUAUUGGAGACUUCAUACCUCUCAAUUCGGGCAUUUGCUUGAAAUAUUAACUUCAACUCUUGGAACAUCUCAUAUGCUCCAUGACGUUCAAAACGUCGUUGAAGUCCCGAUUCUAAGCCGUAAAGCAUGGCACACUGAACUAUCGAAUAGUCAUCAGCUUUGCUCUGCCAGACGUUCAUAACAUCCGGCGUUGCUCCUGUAGCAGGCCUGGCACCCAGUGGUGCUUCCACGACGUAAUUCUUCUGUGCAGCAAUGAGGAUAAUCCUCAGGUUACGGACCCAGUCCAUGUAAUUGCUACCAUCAUCUUUCAACUUUGCUUUCUCAAGGAACGCAUUAAAAUUCAACGGAACAACAGCACGAGCCAUCUAUCUACAAUCAAACAUAAACAAGCAAGAUACUAAUCAAGUACUAAGUUUCAUGAUAAAUUUAAGUUCAGUUAAUCAAAUUAAUUAAAGAACUCCCACUUAGAUAGACAUCCCUCUAAUCCUCUAAGUGAUUACAUGAUCCAAAUCAACUAAACCAUAACCGAUCAUCACGUGAGAUGGAGUAGUUUUCAAUGGUGAACAUCGUUAUGUUGAUCAUAUCUACUAUAUGAUUCACUCUCGACCUUUCGGUCUCCGUGUUCCGAGGCCAUAUCUGUAUAUGCUUGACUCGUCAAGUAUAACCUGAGUAUUCCGCGUGUGCAACUGUUUUGCACCCGUUGUAUUUGAACGUAGAACCUAUCACACCCGAUCAUCACGUGGUGUCUCAGCACGAAGAACUUUCACAACGGUGCAUACUUAGGGAGAACACUUCUUGAUAAUUUAGUGAGAGAUCAUCUUAUAAUGCUACCGUCAAUCAAAGCAAGAUAAGAUGCAUAAAAAGGAUAAACAUGACAUACAAUCAAUAUAAGUGAUAUGAUAUGGCCAUCAUCAUCUUGUGGUUGUGAUCUCCAUCUCCGAACACCGUCGUGAUCACCAUCGUCACCGGCGUGACACCUUGAUCUCCAUCGUAGCAUCGUUGUCGUCUCGCCAAGUUUAUGCUUCCACGACUAUCACUACCGCUUAGUAAUAAAGUAAAGCAUCAUAUCGCGAUUUCAUUGCAUACAAUAAAACGACAACCAUAAGGCUCCUGCCAGUUGCCGAUAACUCGGUUACAAAACAUGAUCAUCUCAUACAAUAAAAUUCAGCAUCAUGUCUUGACCAUAUCACAUCACAACAUGCCCUACAAAAACAAGUUAGACGUCCUCUACUUUGUUGUUGCAAGUUUUACGUGGCUGCUACGGGCUUAAGCAAGAACCAAUCUCACCUACGCAUCAAAACCACAACGAUAGUUUGUCAAAUAGACUCCGUUUUAACCUUCGCAAGGACCGGGCGUAGCCAUACUUGGUUCAACUAAAGUUGGAGAGACAGUCGCCCGCAAGACCCUGUGUGCAAAGCACGUCGGGGGAACCGGUCUCGCGUAAGCGUACCCGUAAGGUUGGUCCGGGUCGUCUCGUCCAACAAUGCCGCCGAACCAAAGUAUGACAUGCUGGUAGGCAGUAUGACUUAUAUCGCCCACAACUCACUUGUGUUCUACUCGUGCAUAUAACAUCAACAUAAAUAACCUAGGCUCGGAUGCCACUGUUGGGUUUCGUAGUAAUUUCAAAAAAAUUCCUACGCACACGCAAGAUCAUGGUGAUGCAUAGCAACGAGAGGGGAAAGUGCUGUCUACGUACCCACGCAGACCGACUGCGGAAGCGUUGACACAACGUAGAGGAAGUAGUCGUACGUCUUCGCGAUCCAACCGAUCAAACACCGAAACUACGGCACCUCCGAGUUUGAGCACACGUUCAACUCGAUGACGAUCCCCGGACUCCGAUCCAGCAAAGUGUCGGGGAAGAAUUCCGUCAGCACGACGGCGUGGUGACGAUCUUGAUGCACUACAGCAGCAGGGCUUCGCCUAAACUCCGCUACAGUAUAAUCGAGGAAUAUGGUGGCUGGGGGCGCCGCACACGGCUAAGGAAUAGAUCACGUGGAUCAACUUGUGUGUUUCUGGGGUGCCUCUGCCUCAGUAUAUAAAGGAGCCAAGGGGGAGGGGGGCGCCGGCCAGGAGGAGGGCGCAGGAGGAGUCCUUCUCCUUCCGGGAGUAGGACUCCCCCCCCCCAAUCCUAGUUGGACUAGGAUUCCCCGAGGGGGAAAGAGAGAGAAGGGGGGCCGGCCACCUCUCCUAGUCCUAAUAGGACUAGGGGGAGGGGGGAGGCGCGCUGCCACCUUGGGCUGCCCCUUUCUCCUUUUCACUAAAGCCCAUCUAGGCCCAUAUGGUUCCCGGGGGGUUCCGGUAACCUCCCGGUACUCCGGUAAAAUCCCGAUUUCACCCGGAACACUUUCGAUAUCCAAACACAGGCUUCCAAUAUAUCAAUCUUUAUGUCUCGACCAUUUUGAGACUCCUCGUCAUGUCCGUGAUCACAUCCGGGACUCCGAACAACCUUCGGUACAUCAAAAUGCAUAAACUCAUAAUAUAACUGUCAUCGUAACCUUAAGCGUGCGGACCCUACGGGUUCGAGAACAAUGUAGACAUGACCGAGACACGUCUCCGGUCAAUAACCAAUAGCGGGACCUGGAUGCCCAUAUUGGCUCCUACAUAUUCUAUGAAGAUCUUUAUCGGUCAGACCGCAUAACAAUAUACGUUGUUCCCUUUGUCAUCGGUAUGUUACUUGCCCGAGAUUCGAUCGUCGGUAUCCAAUACCUAGUUCAAUCUCGUUACCGGCAAGUCUCUUUACUCGUUCUGUAAUACAUCAUCUCGCAACUAACUCAUUAGUUGCAAUGCUUGCGAGGCUUAUGUGAUGUGCAUUACCGAGAGGGCCCAGAGAUACCUCUCCGACAAUCGGAGUGACAAAUCCUAAUCUCGAAAUAUGCCAACCCAACAUCUACCUUUGGAGACACCUGUAAUGCUCCUUUAUAAUCACCCAGUUACGUUGUGAUGUUUGGUAGCACCCAAAGUGUUCCUUCGACAAACGGGAGUUGCAUAAUCUCAUAGUUAUAGGAACAUGUAUAAGUCAUGAAGAAAGCAAUAGCAACAUACUAAACGAUCGGGUGCUAAGCUAAUGGAAUGGGUCAUGUCAAUCAGAUCAUUCAACUAAUGAUGUGACCUCGUUAAUCAAAUAACAACUCAUUGUUCAUGGUUAGGAAACAUAACCAUCUUUGAUUAACGAGCUAGUCAAGUAGAGGCAUACUAGUGACACUUUGUUUGUCUAUGUAUUCACACAUGUAUUAUGUUUCCGGUUAAUACAAUUCUAGCAUGAAUAAUAAACAUUUAUCAUGAUUAUAAGGAAAUAAAUAAUAACUUUAUUAUUGCCUCUAGGGCAUAUUUCCUUCAAGACAGACAUGGGGCGGCAAGGCCUCGACUGAGACUAUGGCGACCAUUAAGUCCAUGCAGGAGGCACAACACUCUCUGGUCAGCUAUGCCGCGACCCCAAUGCGCUCGGGGUCCAUCGAGUCCGUGCGGGAGGCACGACUCACAACUAUUAGGGGAGACCCGACAAGCAAGUCUGAUGGGAAGAGCGACAAGGAAUCCACUACCUUGGGAGAAGCCACACCGGGUAGUGCGAUGUCCGACAAGUCAUCCCCGGGAAGGGAGUUCCCGGGUAUCAUGACGUCUGACACGUCGACCCCAAGAAGGGAGUUUCUGGGCAGUGUGAUGUCAGGAAAUACGACUCCAGCAACACUGACGCCUACGAGCGAGGUGGUUUCUGGGCAGUUCAUGUUCCCGCCAACAGCGCGGUCAGACUUGUUCGAUGCCGACAACAAUGUUGGCACUCCACACAGGUUCCGACGCCUAGGAGGAUAUUCUCGACGAGCCUACGGGACGAUCGCAGCACUGCGCGAUCAAGAAGGACGAGCACGGCGUACGGGCUACCCAAACCAGGAGAAGGAAGACAUCCCAAAGAAGACAGUUGGUCGAGUUUGGUUCCAGAAACCAUGCGAGAAGAUCGGGAUCAUGGAAACAAGCUCCUUUGACAAGGUUGAGGAGGAGAUUGUUGGGUCAACCUGGUCUUCGGAUGGUCUUCAGCAUGCAUGUAGCGGCAUAGCUUGCAUGCAACGGCAGUAGUAGUUAUUACUUAGCUAUGAAGUGAUAGAAGGUAGUAGUAGCUUCAUGUCAUCAGUAGUAAUUUCCUAAGCAGUAGAGGAGGCGUGGCUUAGUAGCUAAGCUUUACAAAGUAAGUCAUGAUGUCAUUUAGGCACUGGAGUUAGCACAUGCGUUCUAUAGUCGGUUUGUAAUCCCCUAUAAAAGGAGCACUACUCCAUCGAUGUAAGAUCAUUCCACUCCGAUCAAUUCAAGUAGUAUCUUUUCUCAAGUGUAGCUCCAUUGGUGCAUGCUUCACUGGUGUGUGUGUGCGUACUAGCCUAGAGAGCCUGAGCGUACCAUCACUUUGCUUUUUCACCGGUCAUUUAUCAGUAUACUCGAGUGCUAGCGAGUAGUUCUGGAUAACAAUUGGCAUCAGAGCCUCAGGUUGCAGUAGCCAUGGUUGGUGCAAAAGGAGUGCAGCAGCGCACCAUCUCGGGUGGUUCAUAGUCGCGGCCAUCACAGGACGGCUCCCAGUCGCCGGCUCCGGAGGAGCGGCGAGGGCGCAGCCGGUCCAGGCGCGGCCAUCGCGGUGAGGUCGUGGUUAGGGAGAUCGUGCGCGAGACUGCAAUCAGCGGUAGCGUGCCCAUCACCUUCCGGAUGCUCACGCGCUCAAACUACAGUGAGUGGGCAUUGAUCAUGGAGUGCAACCUUCAUGCGGCGAGCCUCUGGGCUCCCAUGGAGGACGACCUGGUCGAGAGAAAGGAGGACAGGAAAGCCGUGGAGGCCCUCAUGCGC
RNAcentral lists this long non-coding RNA (11673 nucleotides) under Triticum aestivum (bread wheat). RNAcentral's name for it is "long non-coding RNA (TAES_LNC014161)". The record is from RNAcentral. Lineage: Eukaryota; Viridiplantae; Streptophyta; Magnoliopsida; Poales; Poaceae.